AUUGAACGCUGGCGGCAGGCCUAACACAUGCAAGUAGAACGAGUGGCGGACGGGUGAGUAAUGUCUGGGAAACUGCCCGAUGGAGGGGGAUAACUACUGGAAACGGUAGCUAAUACCGCAUACCAUCGGAUGUGCCCAGAUGGGAUUAGCUAGUAGUUGGGGUAACGGCUCACCUAGGCGACGAUACCAAGCGGGUCUGAGAGGAUGACCAGCAACACUGGACCUGAGACACGGUCCAGACUCCUACGUGAGGCAGCAGUGGGGAAGAUUGCACAAUGGGCGCAAGCCUUAUGCAGCCAUGCCGCGUGUAUGAAGAAGGCCGUCGGGUUGUAAAGUACUUUCAGCUAGGAGGCGUUACUCGCAGAAGAAGCACCGGCUAACUCCGUGCCAGCAGCCGCGGUAAUUC
Molecule: ribosomal RNA, 406 nt
Filed under: uncultured bacterium
Lineage: Bacteria
Description: partial 16S ribosomal RNA
Rfam family: Bacterial small subunit ribosomal RNA
Source: RNAcentral